GCUAAACUCCUUAAACUGGAUAUAUUUGUGUUUUGUUUGCUUCAAGUAUAUAGACAUAUAUUCCUUGAUCAAAACUCAUUGACACUGCUACCACUAAUUUGCUUCAGGUCAUCGACUUGAAGAUUGAUAAAUAUGGUUCUGUUAUUAUGCAGGAGUUGUGUGAUCUGAGGAGAAACUAUUCUCUUGCAAAUCGGAUAAUUGUUGUAGGAAUUAAAAGGCACAUGAUUGUACUGUUGUUCUGGGAUUUCGUUUCUUACGUUCCUCGACCCUAAUGUCUACAUGAGGUGUGAGUUCAACGGAUAAAGGAAAUCACAUUACUAAUAGAAUGAUGCCGCAGCAAAGAAAAUGCUCUCAGCCUUGGACGAUCCAUUCACUCGAUUCUUGAAACCAUUACCUUUUCUGAAGCAAGACUAGCUAGCACCCAAGGUGCCGUGGCAGGUGUACGUUUAUCCAUUGGCUACCCGUUGGAGCAUCACUUGCGGUGCUCUUUGUAAUGUCACUUGGUGGGUUUUGCAGAAAUGACUGUCUAGAGACGUUUUAUCUUGAUAAUUGACAACAUAAGAGUGCAAAAAAUUUGACAGCAAAUCGCUUAUGGGGUCAUCAAGGAAACUCAAUAGAUGGCUAUUUCAGUGGAGAUUAUACCAGAGAUGUUGUUUUGAAAGUAUAUGCCAGGAGAGAAAGAUAUACUUGAAACCCGAUGAGGUCAAUGAUGUGGAGAUUUUACCAGAGAUGUUGUUUUCAAGUAAGAUUUUGUGUGAGAUUAUACCGAUCGCACCAGCACGCCACAUUGUUGCUCCACGGCAAAGGCAGCGAGCGACUGGCUGGCUGCUGCUGGCUUGUACGUGUGGAAGGCAGUUGUUCACGGCAGACCAGUGAGCGGCGGCGGGUGGGCGCGACCACAUGGUGGUUGGAAGGUAGGCUUCGCGGCGUUCAACCUCGGCCACCAUCGUACCACGAUCUCGGCCCACCCGGAAAGUCGGAUGAAGAGGUGGUGGACGACUGAUCCCUGAGAGGAGAACAAGCCUCCGAGCACGUGCUCGUCAACUCCAUGCCGGCCGCUCCAAGCGCCCCUGCUUCGUGUCUUCAAGGCAGGCGCCGAGAUAGCCUUUGCAGCGAGCUGUGGUGUGUGGACUCUGCGGCGAGAUGGGAUUCAGAAUCCUUUUUCGUGAUAGCACAUCCAAGGAAGGAAGGAGAUUGAGGUUGGCACCUCCUGAAGGCAUGCAUGCUCUUCACCGAGAGAGGGAAGGGCAUCUUUUUCUUGGGUUGCAGUUUCCACCUUGUUGUUGGGUGAGCUGAUUCGUUGUUUGUCAGAGCUCUUGUGGAUAAUCAGACAUGGGGUGCAUGGCAAAAUUAGGACAGACUGAAGGCAGCAAAUUCCGCGUUGGUCGUGCACUUUGAGGAGAAGACAUUGUCUUUGUAUAAGUGCCCCUACAAUCAUCUCUUUACAGCAGAGAUAAGGCCUUCAGAUAGAUAUGGCCGCAUAAAUCGCACCGAUGGAUCCAGUCCUUCGCUAGGUCCAACCUACCUUGCACCAGCCUCAAGCACGUUAUUCAGUCAACGCAUAUUCUGUCUUUUGGCAUGUGUAUGCUUGCUCUUGUGCUCAUGUUGUAAUCGUGACCUGUAAUCAGUCCAUGAUCCUUGUGUGACCAGAAGUUGGGCAUAACUGCAUUGUUACUGAGAAGAUGUGAAUAUUAACUUAGGGAUCGGAGCUGAAGC
Molecule: long non-coding RNA, 1716 nt
Organism: Aegilops tauschii subsp. strangulata
Lineage: Eukaryota; Viridiplantae; Streptophyta; Magnoliopsida; Poales; Poaceae
Source: RefSeq, a predicted model, not a curated record